UCAUUCCUGUGGGGCGCGGGGCAUGGAGGAGCUGUGCGGCUGCAGGCGGAGCAGGCCGGCCCGGGCGGCGGCGCGGACAACGGUUUCCAUUUAAGGGGGCGGCCCGAGCCCCAGCGGCCGGCGGCGGCGGAGAGGACCAGCCCCCGGGCAGUUUGGUGCUCUGGUGGUCAGAUGUCGGAAGGCAGUAAGGCGACAGACUCUCCGUGGUUUUAUAUCCGUUUGGGGUGCAGCGGUUGACGUUGAACUUCGGUUCCUGUCACUCUUGCCUGUGUCGAUAGAGUUAAGCCGGAGCUUUGCUUUGAGGGAUAAAGAAAGCGCAGCCUUUCCACUGGACAUAAAUGGAUCUAAAGACAGCAGUGUUUAACGCAGCUCGGGAUGGCAAACUGCGGCUUCUCACCAAGUUGUUGGCCAGCAAAUCCAAAGAGGAGGUUUCCUCCUUGAUCUCGGAAAAAACAAACGGAGCCACGCCACUGCUGAUGGCCGCCAGGUAUGGGCACCUUGACAUGGUGGAGUUCCUCCUCGAACAGUGCAGUGCCUCCAUAGAAGUGGGGGGCUCUGUCAAUUUUGAUGGCGAAACCAUCGAGGGGGCUCCCCCGCUGUGGGCCGCUUCUGCAGCGGGACAUCUGAAGGUGGUGCAGUCGCUGUUAAACCAUGGAGCGUCUGUCAACAACACAACUUUAACCAAUUCCACUCCUCUUCGAGCUGCCUGUUUCGAUGGCCAUCUGGAAAUCGUGAAGUACCUUGUGGAACACAAAGCUGACUUGGAGGUGUCCAACCGACACGGGCAUACGUGCUUGAUGAUUUCGUGCUACAAAGGACACAAAGAGAUUGCUCAGUAUUUGCUUGAAAAGGGGGCAGAUGUUAAUAGAAAAAGUGUGAAAGGUAAUACUGCAUUGCAUGAUUGUGCAGAGUCUGGGAGUUUGGACAUCAUGAAGAUGCUGCUUAUGUAUUGUGCCAAGAUGGAAAAGGAUGGUUAUGGAAUGACUCCCCUUCUUUCAGCCAGCGUCACCGGUCACACAAAUAUUGUGGAUUUUCUGACUCACCAUGCACAGACCAGCAAGACAGAACGGAUCAAUGCUCUAGAGCUCCUGGGAGCUACAUUUGUGGACAAAAAGAGAGAUCUGCUUGGGGCCUUGAAAUACUGGAAAAAGGCCAUGAACAUGAGGUACAGCGAUAGGACUAAUAUCAUCAGCAAACCGGUACCGCAGACUCUGAUAAUGGCUUACGAUUAUGCCAAGGAGGUGAAUAGUGCGGAAGAGCUAGAAGGUCUUAUUGCCGACCCCGACGAGAUGAGAAUGCAGGCACUAUUGAUCAGAGAACGUAUUCUUGGUCCCUCUCAUCCCGAUACCUCUUAUUACAUUAGAUACAGAGGCGCUGUCUAUGCGGACUCUGGAAAUUUCAAACGAUGCAUCAACCUCUGGAAGUAUGCUUUGGAUAUGCAGCAGAACAACUUGGACCCUUUAAGCCCCAUGACUGCCAGCAGCUUGCUGUCGUUUGCGGAACUGUUCUCCUUUAUGCUCCAGGAUAGGGCUAAAGGCCUGCUGGGCACCACCGUUACGUUUGAUGAUCUUAUGGGCAUCCUGUGCAAAAGUGUCCUUGAAAUAGAGCGAGCUAUCAAGCAAACUCAGUGUCCAGCUGACCCAUUGCAGUUAAAUAAGGCUCUGUCCAUUAUUUUGCACUUGAUUUGCUUGCUAGAGAAAGUUCCUUGUACUGUAGAACAGGACCACUUCAAAAAGCAGACUAUCUACAGGUUUCUGAAGCUGCAUCCGAGGGGGAAGAAUAACUUCAGCCCCCUUCAUCUGGCUGUGGACAAGAACACGACCUGCGUAGGGCGCUACCCCGUGUGCAAAUUCCCAUCUCUGCAGGUCACGGCCAUACUGAUCGAGUGUGGCGCCGACGUAAACGUCAGAGACUCUGACGACAACAGCCCCCUGCACAUCGCCGCUCUGAACAACCAUCCCGACAUCAUGAAUCUCCUUAUUAAAUCAGGUGCACACUUCGAUGCCACAAACUUGCACAAGCAGACUGCUAGUGACUUGCUGGAUGAGAAAGAGAUCGCGAAAAAUUUGAUCCAGCCCAUCAAUCACACCACCCUGCAGUGUCUUGCUGCUCGCGUCAUAGUGAAUCAUAGAAUAUAUUACAAAGGGCAUAUCCCAGAAAAGCUAGAAACCUUUGUUUCACUUCACAGAUGAUAAUCUGCCUGGCUCGUCGCACUGUCGAAAGCACGGAUCGCUGACAGUUGCCUCGGAAACUCUGUACGUGCAGUAAAUCGACACUAGUGGAUCCCAGUAAUUUGGGGGUAAAAGAUGAGCAAUGGAAUUUUCCAGCGAUUUGACAUUUCCCCUUCCUUUCUCGGGCGGGGAGAAGAGGGCUCACGUGCUCGUUUGGUACUGCACACUUCACACUAUCCAACGGGUGAACCGAAAUCGUGCGGCUCUAGUGGAACUCAGG
Neogale vison (American mink) is the source of this 2451-nucleotide RNA transcript. It is a transcript of the gene named fem-1 homolog C, with no coding region annotated. Lineage: Eukaryota; Metazoa; Chordata; Mammalia; Carnivora; Mustelidae. The transcript has 4 exons. The record is from RefSeq and is a predicted model, not a curated record.